RNAcentral lists this ribosomal RNA (484 nucleotides) under uncultured bacterium. Its description in RNAcentral is "partial 16S ribosomal RNA". It matches the Rfam family "Bacterial small subunit ribosomal RNA", at positions 29 to 507 of the family's 1533-position model. The record is from RNAcentral.
AUUGAACGCUGGCGGCAGGCCUAACACAUGCAAGUCGAGCGGAUGAAGGGAGCUUGCUCCUGGAUUCAGCGGCGGACGGGUGAGUAAUGCCUAGGAAUCUGCCUGGUAGUGGGGGAUAACGUCCGGAAACGGGCGCUAAUACCGCAUACGUCCUGAGGGAGAAAGUGGGGGAUCUUCGGACCUCACGCUAUCAGAUGAGCCUAGGUCGGAUUAGCUAGUUGGUGGGGUAAAGGCCUACCAAGGCGACGAUCCGUAACUGGUCUGAGAGGAUGAUCAGUCACACUGGAACUGAUACAAGGUCCAGACUACGACGGGAGGCAGCAGGGGGGAAUUGUGGAGAAUGUGCGAAGGGUGUAAGGAGCAAGGCGGCGGGAGUAAGGAAGGUCUGCGGAUAGUAAACCGCUGUUAAGAGGGAAGAACAUAAGGGUAAGUAAAUGUGCAUACCUUGAGGGUACCUAAGAAGAAAGACACGGCUAGGGAAGUG